UACGUAGGUGGCAAGCGUUGUCCGGAUUUACUGGGCGUAAAGGGCGCGCAGGCGGCUAUCCAAGUCAGGCGUGAAAGCCCCGGGCUUAACCUGGGAGGUGCGUCUGGGACUGGGUGGCUAGAGUUCGGGAGAGGAGAGUGGAAUUCCCAGUGUAGAGGUGAAAUUCGUAGAUAUUGGGAAGAACACCGGUGGCGAAGGCGGCUCUCUGGACCGAGACUGACGCUGAGGCGCGAAAGCGUGGGGAGCAAACAGG
This 253-nucleotide ribosomal RNA is filed under the name uncultured bacterium. Its description in RNAcentral is "partial 16S ribosomal RNA". It matches the Rfam family "Bacterial small subunit ribosomal RNA", at positions 524 to 776 of the family's 1533-position model. The record is from RNAcentral.